Molecule: long non-coding RNA, 3232 nt
Organism: Lonchura striata (white-rumped munia)
Lineage: Eukaryota; Metazoa; Chordata; Aves; Passeriformes; Estrildidae
Source: RefSeq, a predicted model, not a curated record
GCCCCCUCGGUACCUGCCGGGCGGGCGGUGCCGGCGGGGGCGGGAGGAGAGGCGUGAUGGGAGCCGGGAGAAAGAACGACGAGAAGAAAGGACGCUGCUGCCCGCGCAGGUUGCCCGGCCGGGUGUGGCUGUGCGCAGCCAUUGGGGAGGCGGGCGCGGCUGUCACCCCGCCGGCCAAGCUGCCCGCCGCAGGCUGGGGCGAACAGUAGGCACUUCGCGCUCUCCAGGGGCCAGCCGUGAGGAGAAAUCAUGUCUACAAUCAGCAGCCUUUGUCAGCCAGGUUUCUCUUCCCCCUGCUUCUCUCCAUGUGGCAGCGGUAACCAGCUGCGGUGAAGGUUGAAGACAUUUCAAAACCCAAAGACCCAAAGCAGUGCUGCUUAUACUCAGCUUUCAGCUGAACAAAAGUAAUGUUCUCGUUUCUCAUGUGCAAAGGUGGAAAACAGAUAUCAAAGUGAGCAGCACCUUGCUAGUUUUCUGUGGUUUUAGGUGAAGAGUGUGUCUCAUUCUCUGAUCAAUUAAUUGUGUGGGAGGUGCUAGGUGAAAGGGGGAAGGUCCCCCACUGUAAUUGCUAUACAUUGUACAGAAGAACUGAAGAAGUACAAGAGGAAACAAACCAGGGAAGAGAGGAGAAAAAGCUGGGAACACAAGUUUUUAUAUGAUGCUGUGGUGACUUCGUAUCUUCCUAAAGAUCAGGCAGGGAGAAGAUGGCGGCCCCUUCUGCUCUACUUACAGGCCCUUUUGUCUGUACUUAAGAGCUUGUAACUGUGUCUAAAAGUGUAAGGAAGGGAGAAUAUGGAAGAAAAUCCUGAUUUUACACCAUAAAAUAGUUUGAAAUGUGUGCAUAUACAGGACUCCUCAAUCUGCAGGCCUCUCAAAAGUGACUCUAGUCUUACUGUAAAGGAAGACCAGUAGGAACCAAGUGCUUCUAAAGCAUUUAUCAGCAAUCCUAGAUUCUUCAGUUUUACAUACUUUCUGUAAAGUACACACUUUCUGUGUAAGUCUGUAUGUAUUUUAGUGGGAAAUGCUUAAGCUAUAAAAUAUUGGCAGUGUUUCUUUCAUUGCAAAUGUAUGUAAAAAGGUAAAACACUUGAAAGCAUUUUACAAGACAGUAUUUUGUGGGUUUUUUUGUGGGUUUUAUUUUUCUGAGGUUUUUUUGUUUGUUUGUUUUAUUUCAUAAACUAAAUAAUUAUUGUCUAGCUGAAGCCAUUUUUGGGAAAUUUACAUGCCUUCCUUGCUUGUGGUGUAAAUAACAAAUAUAGUACACUGUCAAUGGGUAUAUGCUGGUAUUGUCCUUAUCUUCUAAUCACUUGUAUUCCUUGAUUAUUUUUUUCUCUCUAAAAACUUUGGAUGUUCCUGUGUAGAUCUUGCCAUACUGCCUGGGUGUUACAACUGAUGCAUUUUGCUUCAUACUGUUCUUUUGAGACCAGCUGGCUGGUAGUUAUUCUUAAGGGCCUUUUAACCUUCAGGCUUUAUUGUUAGGAUUUUGUUUGUUUUUUUAAUAAGGGGAGGCAGGAAAGGGAAGAAAAUAGGUCUAUUUUCAGUCCCUGUGUUUCAUUAAUUAUUCAAAAGCUGUUUCUGUUUUCAUAUCAUAGCUAAGCAGCGAGUCCUGAAGGGAAGGGGAAAUACCAAUAUCUGUCGAUACAUCCAUAGGAUUCACUGAAAAAUAGAUUUUUACCUUUAAUAUAUAUGUUUGCAGUAAUUACAGCAAAAAACUGCUAUUUCUGCAUAAAAUAUCCAAUUUGAAGCAAAGUUCUCUCAAAGAAAGCCACCGAAUAGGGUUACCUGUCUGUGUUUUGAAGAUGUAGGAGUGCUCGUGCUGACUUAGGGCAAUUGCUGUUUAUUGGAGGCUAUCCUCUGGAUUUUUCACUGUGCUACUUAGGGUCCAAAUUGUGUUACCUAUUGCUGAUGUCUAUGAGCUUCUUGGGAAGCUUCUCUUCUUUCAUAUUUUUUCAUUUCAGGAUACCAGUUCAUAGCACCAAGGUACUGAAAUCCAUUUGAAAUUGCAUAAUGUGUGUCAAUAUAAGUGUCUUGAUUUCAAAGAUCUGUAUUAUAAAUAUGUUAUUUAAUAAAUAGAUUUUAUUAUCCUUGUCAGAGUUACCUUUGACAGAAAAUUGAAUUUUGUCUUUAAAUGUGAACCUCUACUGUAAUAGUUCAUACUUUGAGUUUCACAGUUUAAAUAUUCACACAAUUUCAGAAGUAACAUUCUACAAUUUAAGAUGGAGUAAGAAUGUGAGGAAAACUUGCUACCUAAAGUUAAUUUUUCUAGUACUAUGAAUCAUACAUUGAAGAUUUUAUUAUUGACUGAACUAUAUAAGUGAAAAAAAAAAUUGUUUUCCAAGUAUUUAUUUUUUAGUAGAAUCACUGCAUUUCCCAAGUCUUGAUCUUGUCACAGUAAUGGUUUUAGGUCAUGGUUUGGUUUUCUGGUUUUCCAUAAAAUAAAGAGACAGUUAAUUACACCAAAGAACAAGCAAGGGUAACAGAGAAUAUGCCUUUCCAUGGGGAAAAAAAUAAAAUUCCUGCCAUCUCUUCCAUCUCAUGUUAUUUGCAGUGACAAGUAGGAUGGUCUGGGAAAAGUGCAAACCUUGCUGCAGCAACCACAAGAGCAGGGCUGGGGGAGAUCAGGAGUGAGAACAUAGGAUUACUGUGACCAUGCAGGAGGGGUAUGUCAAUAGGGUAGCCUGGGAAUGGACAAAAGUGAAGCAAGCUGCCUUUCCCUCAAUACCCUUUUUGGUUGGGCCUGUAGAAAACACCAGUCUCCUCACUGCAAAACAGCUUCUGGUAACUGAAAAUGAGGAACUGUCUUUGUGAUUGGAAGUGCGUUUGCAGCUGUGAAGACACAAGUUCUCUUCUUCGGGUAAAUAAUAUUUUUCUUAACGUAGACCCCAUUGAAGAGGAUUGGGUUUGCACUGUUGUUAAAUAAAUGUCAAAUAACAUAUUAGUUAUUUUACUGAUAAUGGCCUCAUUCAUUUCUGCUCUUUGUGUUCUGAGCCUUUAAAGUUGAGGAAUUGCAGCCUUGGGAAGUACCCCCCACAGGUAACUGAAUCAUCUAUUAAGUUAGGGUUCAUUUCAGAUUCAGUCACUGUAUUUCCUUUCUCAGAAAUUUUGCAUUAUCUGUUUCAGAUGAGGAAUAGUCUGGAACUCCUAUGGUGUUUUAUUUUCUCUAUAUUGAAUUUGUAUGCUGUAGAUGUCAAUAACAGAAUGACGAUUUAGCAAUAAAAGUUGCCAAAGAUGA